This is a long non-coding RNA of Oncorhynchus gorbuscha (pink salmon), 493 nucleotides long. RefSeq lists it as uncharacterized. The transcript has 3 exons. NCBI's taxonomy places the organism in Eukaryota, Metazoa, Chordata, Actinopteri, Salmoniformes, Salmonidae. The record is from RefSeq and is a predicted model, not a curated record.
CAUCAUUUAGGAUGGUUGGUAUGGCAAUCAAACUACUUGAUAGAAGAUUUGAUGACAAACACAUUUUCCCAUGUUUACAGAUUGAGUGAGAUUUUGGGUUUAGUUGGAAGGUUGUCCUUUCACCUAGCAUGGGACAGGGGCGGGCUUAAAGGCUUCACACUGCAGACACCGCCCAUCCAGGAAGUCGCUGUAGGAGGAGCAAGGGUAGCCUGUGAGGCUGCAGGUCCGGUUGAGAGCACACAGGUACAGGAACACAGAGCGCUGGUGGUCACACACAAAAUACGACUUCCCUACGAAAGAGAAAAGCUGGAAAAGCUGUAGAAGCAUUAAGACGCGGAUCAGUGAGCACCGCCGCAUAUAAGGACAGGAAGUGUCACUGAGUACUGCCCAUAUAUAUAUAUAUAGGACCUUCCACCCCAACCUGGGAUACGGAUGCCUGAUGAAGACCUACGUGUCAAAAACAUUCUUAUAAUAAAAUCACCGGGCAACAUGA